AAGUAGGGGAUCGUAAGACCUUGCGCUUUUGGAGCGGCCGAUGUCUGAUUAGCUAGUUGGUGGGGUAAUGGCCUACCAAGGCUUCGAUCAGUAGCUGGUCUGAGAGGACGGCCAGCCACACUGGGACUGAGACACGGCCCAGACUCCUACGGGAGGCAGCAGUGGGGAAUUUUGGACAAUGGGCGCAAGCCUGAUCCAGCCAUGCCGCGUGAGUGAAGAAGGCCUUCGGGUUGUAAAGCUCUUUCUGCCGGGAAGAAAAGGUUGCGACUAAUAAUCGCAAUUCAUGACGGUACCCAAAGAAGAAGCACCGGCUAA
Molecule: ribosomal RNA, 315 nt
Filed under: uncultured ammonia-oxidizing beta proteobacterium
Lineage: Bacteria; Pseudomonadati; Pseudomonadota; Betaproteobacteria
Description: bacterial SSU rRNA
Rfam family: Bacterial small subunit ribosomal RNA
Source: RNAcentral